RNAcentral lists this ribosomal RNA (301 nucleotides) under uncultured bacterium. RNAcentral's name for it is "partial 16S ribosomal RNA". It matches the Rfam family "Bacterial small subunit ribosomal RNA", at positions 509 to 807 of the family's 1533-position model. The record is from RNAcentral.
CAGUCGCCGCGGUAAUACGAGGGGGGCAAGCGUUGUUCGGAAUUAUUGGGCGUAAAGGGCGCGUAGGCGGUUUGGCAAGUUUGGUGUGAAAUCUUCGGGCUCAACUCGAAGUCUGCAUCGAAAACUGCCGGGCUUGAGUGUGGGAGAGGUGAGUGGAAUUUCCGGUGUAGCGGUGAAAUGCGUAGAUAUCGGAAGGAACACCUGUGGCGAAAGCGGCUCACUGGACCACAACUGACGCUGAGGCGCGAAAGCUAGGGGAGCAAACAGGAUUAGAUACCCGCGUAGUCCCUGUCUCUUAUAC